CAGCCGCCGCGGUAAUACGUAGGGUGCAAGCGUUAAUCGGAAUUACUGGGCGUAAAGCGUGCGCAGGCGGUUCGGAAAGAAAGAUGUGAAAUCCCAGAGCUUAACUUUGGAACUGCAUUUUUAACUACCGGGCUAGAGUGUGUCAGAGGGAGGUGGAAUUCCGCGUGUAGCAGUGAAAUGCGUAGAUAUGCGGAGGAACACCGAUGGCGAAGGCAGCCUCCUGGCCCGCUCCUGACGCUGAGACCCGAAAGCGUGGGGAGCAAACCGGAUUAGAUACCCGGGUAGUCCACGCCCUAAACGAUGUCAACUAGCUGUUGGGGCCUUCGGGCCUUGGUAGCGCAGCUAACGCGUGAAGUUGACCGCCUGGGGAGUACGGUCGCAAGAUUAAAACUUAAAGGAAUUGGCGGG
This 408-nucleotide ribosomal RNA is filed under the name uncultured microorganism. RNAcentral describes it as "bacterial SSU rRNA". It matches the Rfam family "Bacterial small subunit ribosomal RNA", at positions 509 to 917 of the family's 1533-position model. The record is from RNAcentral.